Molecule: unclassified non-coding RNA, 200 nt
Filed under: soil metagenome
Description: partial contains internal transcribed spacer 2 and large subunit ribosomal RNA
Source: RNAcentral
GCCUGUUCGAGCGUCAUUAUGACCACUCAAGCCUAGCUUGGUAUUGGGGUUCGCGGUCUCGCGGCCCUUAAAAUCAGUGGCGGUGCAUCUGGCUCUAAGCGUAGUAAUUUAUCUCGCUAUUGGGUCCGGUGGUUGCUUGCCAACAACCCUCAACUUCUAAGGUUGACCUCGGAUCAGGUAGGGAUACCCGCUGAACUUAA